Molecule: ribosomal RNA, 361 nt
Filed under: uncultured Streptococcus sp.
Lineage: Bacteria; Bacillati; Bacillota; Bacilli; Lactobacillales; Streptococcaceae
Description: bacterial SSU rRNA
Rfam family: Bacterial small subunit ribosomal RNA
Source: RNAcentral
CUUCGGUACAUCGGUGACAGGUGGUGCAUGGUUGUCGUCAGCUCGUGUCGUGAGAUGUUGGUUAAGUCCGCAACGAGCGCAACCCCUAUUGUUAGUUGCCAUCAUUCAGUUGGGCACUCUAGCGAGACUGCCGGUAAUAAACCGGAGGAAGGUGGGGAUGACGUCAAAUCAUCAUGCCCCUUAUGACCUGGGCUACACACGUGCUACAAUGGUUGGUACAACGAGUUGCGAGUCGGUGACGGCGAGCUAAUCUCUUAAAGCCAAUCUCAGUUCGGAUUGUAGGCUGCAACUCGCCUACAUGAAGUCGGAAUCGCUAGUAAUCGCGGAUCAGCACGCCGCGGUGAAUACGUUCCCGGGCCUU